UGGAAAAAUAAUAUAUAAAAUUUUGAGAUGAUUAUUAUUAUUAUUUUUUACAGUGAUGCAAACUAUUGAGAUGAUUCAACCCAUUUCAUGUGAUCCAAACCUUUGACAUGCUUGGGCCCUUUAAGUGGAUCAAAUCCUUUUACAUACUUAGUUCAUUGGUCAUCUACAGUUGGCUUGUUUUCAAUGAUCGAAACCUUUCAUAUUACUCGAUUUGCACACUUUUAAUAAAAUUUCAGUUGUCUCUCUCUCUCUCUCUCUCUCAAAAAAAAAAAAAAAAAAAAAAAGAAGAAGAAAAAAGAAAAGAAAGAAAGAAUGCAAAUUGAAAUGAGCCAUAACCAAAUUCUUUCGUUUGUUUUAAGUUUUAAUUAGGAAAAAAAAUACAAAUGAAAACAAGAAAGAAGAACAUAAAAAUAAAAUGAAAAAGAAGAAGAAGAAGAAGAAAAGUAAAAUAAAAAUAAAAACGAAGAAGUAAACAAAAGAUGGUUCUUGAGCAAGAAUUCCAAAGCAGGUGACUAAAUAAAUAAUGCCCCAAACGUUUUCUUAGAAUGACCUUCUAUAAAUCAAUGAAACUCCCAAUGGUGCUUGUGUUCGAGGCAAACUAAUCUUCAAGCUAAGGGUCUUUUUUGUUUUAUGAUACUUUUGAUCUUAGUAAGGUUUGACAAUUUACACAUGUAGGUAAUUACACCCUAAGCACACAGUACCCAACUACACCAAAUGUCGAAUACCAUUCACCUCCAAUAUAGAGAGGAUAGUCAAAUCCAUACGCAAGGAUGAACCUACCUAGUCUUUUCUUCUCAUUUUGCUCAGAUUUAAGGAUUUGAAAGAUGUGAGGUUUCACUUCCCAAAAACACAAAUAAGGUAUUAGCCAUGUUGUAGAAAAUUUAGAAGGGCAAGGAGUAUAGAAGAGAGAAAAAAAAGACUUGAAAAAGGAACAAGAAGAUUGAGCAAUUUGGGGCAGGCUUAUAGUCCAAUGCCGUUACCAUUGCUAUUUUGUCUUUAGUAUGAAGUGAUCCUUUUGGAACCUACGACUAUUGACCAAGGUGAUACGAAGGAAGAAAAAAAAAAAAAAAAAAGAGAAAAAAAAUGGGGAAAAAAAGAGAAAAAGUUGGAGCUUGCUCGCUAUAAUUUGGGGCAAGCGUAUUCCCUAUGUCGUUACCAUCGCAGUUUUAUGCCUUAGUGGGAAGUGAGCCUUUUGGAUCUUCCUAUUUUGCAAAGUGUGAUAGAAUAAAAAAAGGGGUGUAAAAAUAAAGAAAUAAAAAGAAUGAAAAUAAAAGUGCACCAGUAUUAGAAGACCUUAAGUGUUUCCGGGAAAGUUUUUUAAUCCUCACAUCUAGAGAAUACAGAAAUCGUAACCUCAAUUUCAUUUUCAUUGACGAAGGGGAUGGGGUAAGGUCCCAUGGUGUGGGUUUUCGAUUCCGACUACGAAGUGAGGCAGUGAUGCAGAGUGCGAGUGUGUGAUGGAGAUCAUCCUCAGCUCUGAUACCAGUGAAGUUGGAGGGCAUUAGACAGCCGUUUGGCAACGAAUCUCUAGCAGGAGGAUUUUUCAACCAGAUGGGAUGCCUUUGCUUUUGAGAGAUGAAAAGCGAAAAUGCUUGACUUCUCUAUUGCAUAUGGGAAAACUCCUGUUCGGUUGGCCCGUGAUUGGAAGUGGUGCUACCAAAGAGCAUGAAGGCAACCGGGGAUGAAAUAAUUAACGAAGGAUGCCUUUGCUUUUGAGAGAUGAAAAGAGAAAAUGCUCAACUUCUCUAUUGCAUAUGGGAAAACUCCUAUUGGGCCAGCCCAUGAUUGGAAGGUAUACACACUGUUAUAAAUUCUU
Molecule: long non-coding RNA, 1816 nt
Organism: Magnolia sinica
Lineage: Eukaryota; Viridiplantae; Streptophyta; Magnoliopsida; Magnoliales; Magnoliaceae
Exons: 4
Source: RefSeq, a predicted model, not a curated record